GAUGAACGCUGGCGGCGUGCCUAAUACAUGCAAGUCGAGCGAACAGACGAGGAGCUUGCUCCUCUGACGUUAGCGGCGGACGGGUGAGUAACACGUGGAUAACCUACCUAUAAUACUGGGAUAACUUCGGGAAACCGGAGCUAAUACCGGAUAAUAUAUUGAACCGCAUGGUUCAAUAGUGAAAGACGGUUUUGCUGUCACUUAUAGAUGGAUCCGCGCCGCAUUAGCUAGUUGGUAAGGUAACGGCUUACCAAGGCAACGAUGCGUAGCCGACGUGAGAGGGUGAUCGGCCACACUGGAACUGAGACACGGACCAGACUCCGACGGGAGGCAGCAGUAGGGAAUCUUCCGCAAUGGGCGAAAGCUUGACGGAGCAACGCCGCGUGAGUGAAGAAGGUCUUCGGAUCGUAAAACUCUGUUAUUAGGGAAGAACAAAUGUGUAAGUAACUAUGCACGUAGUGACGGUACCUAAUCAGAAAGCCACGGCUAACUACGUG
This 497-nucleotide ribosomal RNA is filed under the name uncultured bacterium. RNAcentral describes it as "partial 16S ribosomal RNA". It matches the Rfam family "Bacterial small subunit ribosomal RNA", at positions 28 to 507 of the family's 1533-position model. The record is from RNAcentral.